UGCGUAGGCGGCUUGGUAAGUCAGAUGUGAAAUCCUGGGGGCUCAACCUCGGAACUGCAUUUGAUACUGCCAGGCUAGAGUACUGGAGAGGAGACUGGAAUUUACGGUGUAGCAGUGAAAUGCGUAGAUAUCGUAAGGAAGGCCAGUGGCGAAGGCGAGUCUCUGGACAGUAACUGACGCUGAGGCACGAAGGCUAGGGGGAGCAAACG
RNAcentral lists this ribosomal RNA (209 nucleotides) under uncultured bacterium. Its description in RNAcentral is "partial 16S ribosomal RNA". It matches the Rfam family "Bacterial small subunit ribosomal RNA", at positions 568 to 774 of the family's 1533-position model. The record is from RNAcentral.